UGGGGAAUAUUGCACAAUGGGCGCAAGCCUGAUGCAGCCAUGCCGCGUGUGUGAAGAAGGCCUUCGGGUUGUAAAGCACUUUCAGCGAGGAGGAAGGUGGUGAGCUUAAUACGCUCAUCAAUUGACGUUACUCGCAGAAGAAGCACCGGCUAACGUCCGUGCCAGCAGCCGCGGUAAUACGGAGGGUGCAAGCGUUAAUCGGAAUACUGGGCGUAAAGCGCACGCAGGCGGUUUGUUAAGUCAGAUGUGAAAUCCCCGGGCUCAACCUGGGAACUGCAUUUGAAACUGGCAAGCUAGAGUCUCGUAGAGGGGGGUAGAAUUCCAGGUGUAGCGGUGAAAUGCGUAGAGAUCUGGAGGAAUACCGGUGGCGAACGGCGGCCCCCUGGACGAAGACUGACGCUCAGG
RNAcentral lists this ribosomal RNA (405 nucleotides) under uncultured bacterium. RNAcentral describes it as "partial 16S ribosomal RNA". It matches the Rfam family "Bacterial small subunit ribosomal RNA", at positions 355 to 751 of the family's 1533-position model. The record is from RNAcentral.